Molecule: long non-coding RNA, 159 nt
Organism: Scomber japonicus (chub mackerel)
Lineage: Eukaryota; Metazoa; Chordata; Actinopteri; Scombriformes; Scombridae
Exons: 3
Source: RefSeq, a predicted model, not a curated record
UCCUCUGCUGUGACGGCUCACCAGCCUAGGGAACCUCGGGAGUCCACAGGUUCACCUCAGCCCAGGAUGGCUCACCAGCAGGAGGAGUGCUCCCCCCCGCUGAACACCGUCCGGUUCAGCAGUGUGGACUACAAGCUUGCUCCUGAGCCUAACACGGUA